GACAGAGGGUGCAAACGUUGCUCGGAAUCACUGGGCGUAAAGGGCGUGUAGGCGGGUAGGCAAGUCAGAUGUGAAAUCCCUGGGCUCAACCCAGGAACUGCAUUUGAAACUCCCUUUCUUGAGUACCGGAGAGGAAGGUGGAAUGCCUGGUGUAGAGGUGAAAUUCGUAGAUAUCAGGCGGAACACCAGUGGCGAAGGCGGCCUUCUGGACGGUAACUGACGCUGAGACGCGAAAGCGUGGGGAGCAAACAGG
RNAcentral lists this ribosomal RNA (253 nucleotides) under uncultured bacterium. RNAcentral describes it as "partial 16S ribosomal RNA". It matches the Rfam family "Bacterial small subunit ribosomal RNA", at positions 524 to 776 of the family's 1533-position model. The record is from RNAcentral.